GAAAUGCGAUAAGUAAUGUGAAUUGCAGAAUUCAGUGAAUCAUCGAAUCUUUGAACGCACAUUGCGCCCCCUGGUAUUCCGGGGGGCAUGCCUGUUCGAGCGUCAUUUCACCACUCAAGCCUCGCUUGGUAUUGGGCGACGCGAUCCGCCGCGCGCCUCAAAUCGACCGGCUGGGUCUUCCGUCCCCUCAGCGUUGUGGAAACUAUUCGCUAAAGGGUGCCGCGGGAGGUCACGCCGCAAAACAACCCCAUUUCUAAGGUUGACCUCGGAUCAGGUAGGGAUACCCGCUGAACUUAAGC
RNAcentral lists this unclassified non-coding RNA (299 nucleotides) under plant metagenome. RNAcentral describes it as "partial contains 5.8S ribosomal RNA, internal transcribed spacer 2, and large subunit ribosomal RNA". The stretch from base 1 to 105 matches the Rfam family "5.8S ribosomal RNA", at positions 50 to 154 of the family's 154-position model. The record is from RNAcentral.